This 465-nucleotide ribosomal RNA is filed under the name uncultured bacterium. RNAcentral describes it as "partial 16S ribosomal RNA". It matches the Rfam family "Bacterial small subunit ribosomal RNA", at positions 338 to 795 of the family's 1533-position model. The record is from RNAcentral.
CCUACGGGCGGCAGCAGUAGGGAAUCUUCCACAAUGGACGAAAGUCUGAUGGAGCAACGCCGCGUGAGUGAAGCAGGGUUUCUGCUCGUAAAGCUCUGUUGGUAGAGAAGAAAGACAGAGGUAGUAACUGGCCCUUAUUUGACGGUACUUACUUAGAAAGUCACGGCUAACUACGUCCCAGCAGCCGCGGUAAUACGUAGGUGGCAAGUGUUGUCCGGAUUUAUUGGGCGUAAAGGGAGUGCAGGCGGUUCAAUAAGUCUGAUGUGAAAGCCUUCGGCUCAACCGGAGAAUUGCAUCAGAAACUGUUGAACUUGAGUGCAGAAGAGGAGAGUGGAACGCCAUGUGUAGCGGUGGAAUGCGUAGAUAUAUGGAAGAACACCAGUGGCGAAGGCGGCUCACUGGUCUGCAACUGACGCUGAGGCUCGAAAGCAUGGGUAGCGAACAGGAUUAGAUACCCCAGUAGUC